CUGCCAUCGAAGUUUAGUUUCAAGUCUGUGAUAUUAGUUCGUGGGAUUUCUGCAACUACCAAAGAAUUAAACCCUAUUUUUUCUCUGGGUGAUUCUGGAAAACGGCGCAACUUCGAAUUCUGUCUCCUCAGAUUUCAUUCUUUGCUCUCCCAAACAGUUCAAAACCGAAUUGACUGCUCCCACAACCUUUGGGAAACCUUCUCUUUACUUUCCCGGAAACUACAAAUUUGCUCGCAAUCCAAAUGCAAGACAGACGCCUCUAGAAUCUUUGUGGUCAUGCCUUGCAACCGCUGCGGACACAGAUCCCUAAUCCGUGACGACGUCACUGGCUUACUGGUUUGUGAGUCAUGCGGUGCCGGCCAAGAAUUCGACAACUACGAAGCUCGCA
This 388-nucleotide unclassified non-coding RNA is filed under the name Hevea brasiliensis (rubber tree). The record is from RNAcentral. Lineage: Eukaryota; Viridiplantae; Streptophyta; Magnoliopsida; Malpighiales; Euphorbiaceae.